This 253-nucleotide ribosomal RNA is filed under the name uncultured bacterium. Its description in RNAcentral is "partial 16S ribosomal RNA". It matches the Rfam family "Bacterial small subunit ribosomal RNA", at positions 524 to 776 of the family's 1533-position model. The record is from RNAcentral.
UACGUAGGGGGCAAGCGUUGUCCGGAAUCAUUGGGCGUAAAGAGCGUGUAGGCGGCCCGAUAAGUCCGCUGUGAAAGUCCAGGGCUCAACCCUCGAAUGCCGGUGGAUACUGUCGGGCUAGAGUGCGGAAGAGGCGAGUGGAAUUCCUGGUGUAGCGGUGAAAUGCGCAGAUAUCAGGAGGAACACCUAUUGCGAAGGCAGCUCGCUGGGACGUAACUGACGCUGAGACGCGAAAGCGUGGGGAGCAAACAGG